CGCGGGCGCUGUCCCCUUCAGGGAGGCGCGUGAGGAAAGUCCGGGCAACAAAGAGCACCAUAUUUCCUAACGGGAAGCUGCGGGCGACUGCAGAGACAACGUGACAGAAAACAACCGCCCCACUCAAGGGUGAGGGAGCAUGGCCCCCCAGCGGGGACUGUGCGCUAUCCACCUCCCGGGGCAAGGGUGAAAAGGUGGGGUAAGAGCCCACCGGGCUCCGUCGUGAGGCGGAGCGCCGCACGUCUUAUGGGUUGCAAGGUCAAGUAUACCGGCAUUUAAGGGCUGCUCGUCCAUUGCCGGGGGGUAGACUGCUUUAGCCGUGGCGGCGACGCACGGCAUAGAUAAAUGACGGACGGGCGCGAGCAUCAGCCCGAUGCCCGGUGAGCAUCCUUUGCCACCGGCCGAGCGCCUACAUAACCCGGCUUAUAGUCCGGCUG
RNAcentral lists this RNase P RNA (437 nucleotides) under human gut metagenome. RNAcentral's name for it is "Bacterial RNase P class A". The stretch from base 7 to 348 matches the Rfam family "Bacterial RNase P class A", at positions 18 to 314 of the family's 367-position model. Rfam says of the family: Ribonuclease P (RNase P) is a ubiquitous endoribonuclease, found in archaea, bacteria and eukarya as well as chloroplasts and mitochondria. Its best characterised activity is the generation of mature 5'-ends of tRNAs by cleaving the 5'-leader elements of precursor-tRNAs. The record is from RNAcentral.